This is a long non-coding RNA of Pezoporus occidentalis (night parrot), 441 nucleotides long. RefSeq lists it as uncharacterized. The transcript is spliced from 4 exons. The record is from RefSeq and is a predicted model, not a curated record. NCBI's taxonomy places the organism in Eukaryota, Metazoa, Chordata, Aves, Psittaciformes, Psittacidae.
GCGGGCGGGAAGAGGCGGCGGCACCGUCCCCACGGGGCGGGCCCGCUCGGGGCCUGGUGACACCAGGGCAGCGCAGGCAGGAUGCGCAUCUCCUGCAAAACUGCUUGCUCCAGUUCCUAAAUUGCUACAGUCCCUUUGCUACACUGGAAAAUGACCAGAGAGCCUGUCAAGGUCCCAAAACUGGGACAGGUGUUCCUCUGAUCUUCCUGGCAUCUACAUCUGUGAAAAAAAAAUCCUGCUUUGAAGGACAUUGUGUUGUUAAUAGGCCAACAUGGCUUUUUGAGGAAGGCUUUGCAUUUAUUCCUGAAUGAAAUCAAACUGCAGAAUCAUCAAUAAUGUGUAUGCAAAGUUUAUAAUCUGUGGCUGAAUUCUGAAAUAAGCAUAACCAGAACUCAAUCACAGAAGAAUCAAAUAUGUGACUAUAGAAGCACAUAAGAAGUA